Molecule: long non-coding RNA, 295 nt
Filed under: Phaseolus vulgaris (common bean)
Lineage: Eukaryota; Viridiplantae; Streptophyta; Magnoliopsida; Fabales; Fabaceae
Description: long non-coding RNA (PVUL_LNC005209)
Source: RNAcentral
CACACUGCAACCAGAGCAGCCAUGUUAGUGAGGAUCAACACUCUUCUUCAAGGCUACUCAGGCAUCAGAUUUGAAAUCUUAGAAUCCAUCACCAAGCUCCUUAACAACAACGUUACCCCAUGUUUGCCACUUCGUGGUACAAUCACAGCUUCUGGAGAUCUUGUUCCACUUUCCUAUAUUGCUGGUUUGCUCACUGGCAGACCUAACUCCAAAGCUGUUGGACCUUCUGGAGAAGUACUUACUGCUAAGCAAGCUUUUGAAUUGGCUAACAUCAAUUCUGAGUUCUAUGAAUUGC